RNAcentral lists this long non-coding RNA (228 nucleotides) under Lupinus angustifolius (narrow-leaved blue lupine). RNAcentral describes it as "long non-coding RNA (LANG_LNC001071)". Lineage: Eukaryota; Viridiplantae; Streptophyta; Magnoliopsida; Fabales; Fabaceae. The record is from RNAcentral.
UGGUCCACUCUACUAAUUCAGAUUUUUUUUAUUUUCCCCCUUUCUCUAUUUCUCUCUCCCUCAAUGGCAAUGCACCACCACUACCACCAUUCUUUCCCCUCUUCCUACCCUUCUUCGUGUCUUUCUCACUCCAAUUCUAUAGAAUUAUAAUUAAUUUGCAAUUCCAACCUAUAUAACUUCAGACAACCCAACUAACAUCCCAUACUAUCUUUCUAUCUUUCUCUUUCC